Molecule: long non-coding RNA, 714 nt
Filed under: Mus musculus (house mouse)
Lineage: Eukaryota; Metazoa; Chordata; Mammalia; Rodentia; Muridae
Description: predicted gene 29154
Source: RNAcentral
ACUCAGAGUUUGAUACAUGCUUCUCAAUGGUUCCUCCUUCCGGUUCUAGUUCAGCGAAGUAUGAGUCACGUGAUCAUCCACCAGCUGAGAGGAUCUGUGGGUUAUAUGAGACAAUCCCCUUCCGCCCCAAACAGGAACAUCUACAUCUCCAUUUAUGCCGUGUGCACGCAGUACCAACAGAGGUCAGAGGAGGGUGUCGGAUCCCCUGGAACUGGAGUCACAGAUUCUUCCUUGCGUGGAUGAAACAGUCCCAACGAACACUUUAAAAAGACAAAUGUUCCCGACAGCACUGGUUGAAUUCAAAACUCGGCAGAUCCAUGUUCUUAUCCUUAGACAAGAGAGGGGCCAUAACAAGAUGGAAUGACGGAACAGACGUGAGAGAUGAUGGUACAGUGACUCGGGUAACCCCAGAAAAGGGACAGCUCUUCUACAGCUCAGUGGGGACAGGGACAAAAAGAAACAAUUUCAUUUCAGUCCACCCAGAGGGUCUGCACUUCUCGGAGCCAGAAGGUGGAGAAGAGUAGGGAUGGAGGAAGUUCGAAGUUUUAGGAGUCUGCUCUUGGGUCCCUAGGCAUGAGGACAAGCUUUUCCUGUACUCAAUGCUCAUCUCUCAGUUGUGCCCACAUUGGUACACAUUACUUGCUUUCAACUGCUGCUGCUGCUGUUUCCUAAUUCAAUAAAGAUAUGGCUGGCUCAGCAGAGAGCUGUCAUCCA